AUCGACAUCCUUUCCACCACACACCUUGCAUCACCUAUCAACCAAUGCCCAUGUGCAAACUUGUGGACCAGCUACCAAUUAAACAUCCUCUUCCAUGGCAAUUCUAAAGGUAGCAUUCAUGCCAUGAGGAUUUUCAUCUUUCUUACAAAGAAAUAUCAUCACACUGUUCUAGGGAGACAACAUUGGCAGCAUUUUCUUUGGAGCUUCCA
This 209-nucleotide long non-coding RNA is filed under the name Capsicum annuum. RNAcentral's name for it is "long non-coding RNA (CANN_LNC020756)". The record is from RNAcentral. Lineage: Eukaryota; Viridiplantae; Streptophyta; Magnoliopsida; Solanales; Solanaceae.